Molecule: ribosomal RNA, 485 nt
Filed under: uncultured bacterium
Lineage: Bacteria
Description: bacterial SSU rRNA
Rfam family: Bacterial small subunit ribosomal RNA
Source: RNAcentral
AGAGUUUUCUGGCUCAGGAUUAACGCUGGCGGCAUGCCUAAUACAUGCAAGUCGAAUGGUUAGCUUGCUAACCAUGGCGAACGGGUGAGUAACACGUAGGUAACCUGUCUUCAAGACGAGGAUAACCAUUGGAAACGAUGGAUAAUACUGGAUAGGACAAAUCCCCACAUGAGGAGAUGUUUAAAGGAGCAAUCCACUUGAUGAGGGGCCUGCGGUGCAUUAGCUAGUUGGUGAGGUAAAUGCCCACCAAGGCGAUGAUGCAUAGCCGGACUGAGAGGUUGAACGGCCACAAUGGAACUGAGAACGGUCCAUACUCCUACGGGAGGCAGCAGUAGGGAAUUUUCGGCAAUGGGCGGAAGCCUGACCGAGCAAUGCCGCGUGAACGAUGAAGUAUUUCGGUAUGUAAAGUUCUUUUAUUUGGGAAGAAAAAACAAAUUGACGGUACCAAAUGAAUAAGCUCCGGCUAACUACGUGCCAGCCGCCGC